Molecule: ribosomal RNA, 253 nt
Filed under: uncultured bacterium
Lineage: Bacteria
Description: partial 16S ribosomal RNA
Rfam family: Bacterial small subunit ribosomal RNA
Source: RNAcentral
UACAGAGACUGCAAGCGUUAUUCGGAUUCAUUGGGCGUAAAGGGUGCGCAGGUGGCGUGGCAAGUCGGAUGUGAAAUCCCGGGGCUCAACCCCGGAACUGCAUUCGAUACUGCCUUGCUAGAGUGCUGGAGAGGAGAUUGGAAUUUACGGUGUAGCAGUGAAAUGCGUAGAUAUCGUAAGGAAGCCCAGUGGCGAAGGCGGGUCUCUGGACAGUUCCUGACACUGAGGCACGAAGGCCAGGGGAGCAAACGGG